Corythoichthys intestinalis (scribbled pipefish) is the source of this 454-nucleotide long non-coding RNA. RefSeq lists it as uncharacterized. The transcript has 3 exons. The record is from RefSeq and is a predicted model, not a curated record. NCBI's taxonomy places the organism in Eukaryota, Metazoa, Chordata, Actinopteri, Syngnathiformes, Syngnathidae.
UUGAACUAAUUAGAAAUAAUUCACAGAGGUUUAACUAAAUGUUUCAAAUGGAAAUUCCAAGGAAUUAUCAGUUUUACUUCUUUGAAAUAAUCUUUUUUACUAAUUUUACAACUGCUUUGUACUUUUUAAACACCACUUUGUUAGUAAAAGUGAACGUACUAGCAUAACAUCUUCGUCCAAAGGUUUUUGGCUGGCGGGCGCUCCUUCAAAAUAUUGUCUGCCCUACACUGGGGUGGCACACUAUGACAGGAAAGAACAAGUGGCUUUACGCAGGAAGCGAUCGGUCAGCACAGAGGAAUGUUGCAACAGUCGAGGCAGGUGGAUACACUGCCCUCUAGGGGAAACAGUGAACAUGACACAACUCAUUUGAUAUGGCUGAAUCCUGCUGCUCCCUGUUAAGACCAACAUAAGGUAAGUUUUUGUUUGAGCUAAUGUUUUUUUUAUGCAUUCGUAA